UAGUUGGUGGAGUGAUUUGUCUGGUUAAUUCCGAUAACGAACGAGACUCUAGCCUACUAAUUAGACUGAGGCAUCCUCGUGCUGCCUCAGCGCUUCCUAGAGGGACAGACGGCGUUUCAGCCGUAUGAGAAAGAGCAAUAACAGGUCUGUGAUGCCCUUAGAUGUCCGGGGCCGCACGCGCGCUACACUGAAGAGAUCAGCGUGUA
This 206-nucleotide non-coding RNA is filed under the name Albugo candida. Its description in RNAcentral is "Eukaryotic small subunit ribosomal RNA". It matches the Rfam family "Eukaryotic small subunit ribosomal RNA", at positions 1295 to 1521 of the family's 1831-position model. Lineage: Eukaryota; Oomycota; Peronosporomycetes; Albuginales; Albuginaceae. The record is from Rfam by way of RNAcentral.